AAGAAGCGUGGUUGGCCAAACUGUGGCAUUUGCCCACUUUGCAAGAGGGAACAUGAAACGGGGACACACCUCUUCUUCAAGUGUCGGUACACGCUUAGACUUUGGAGAUUGAUCAUCGAGAAGCUUCGACUUGCACACAUGGACACCUCCUAGUGGCACUUGGAUGAAACCGUCAACGCGUGGUAGCAAAAAAGAACCGACGAUAGUAUUCCUAACCGAAACGCAAUGGUCUCCCUCGCCAUGCUCGUUUCUUGGGCCAUUUGAAACGAGAGAAACGCUCAUAUUUUCCGCCACAAAAGCACGCUGCCGACGAUUCUUCUUACCAACAUUUUAGAAGAUGCAAAACUUUAG
RNAcentral lists this ribosomal RNA (351 nucleotides) under Triticum aestivum (bread wheat). RNAcentral's name for it is "partial small subunit ribosomal RNA". The record is from RNAcentral. Lineage: Eukaryota; Viridiplantae; Streptophyta; Magnoliopsida; Poales; Poaceae.